Molecule: small nucleolar RNA, 130 nt
Organism: Sorex fumeus (smoky shrew)
Lineage: Eukaryota; Metazoa; Chordata; Mammalia; Eulipotyphla; Soricidae
Product: small nucleolar RNA SNORA72
Exons: 1
Source: RefSeq, a predicted model, not a curated record
CAGUGAUUAACGGGAUGUCAAGUGAUCAAAUGAUCAAGGCUAAACAUUCACUCUAAAAUCACCUUGCAUGUGUUCCCAAAUCUAGUUCUUUUCCUAGCUAGGUCUGGUAUUAUAAACACAAGUGACACAC